This 1117-nucleotide small RNA is filed under the name Pongo abelii (Sumatran orangutan). RNAcentral's name for it is "retained intron". Lineage: Eukaryota; Metazoa; Chordata; Mammalia; Primates; Hominidae. The record is from RNAcentral.
GAAUGGGCGACCGCCGGUGCAGGCGCCCCAGGGAACCCUGAGGACUCGGUGAGUGCCGUAUGAGGGCAAGGACCCAGCCCGGGACUCAGCGUCCAGCGCUCGGUGGGCACUCGGGCAAGGUUUGCAUGCUGCACAGCAGGUCGUCCAGGAAGCGGGGCGGUGGCAGACAGAUCUGCGCCCCCGGCCGGCCUCGGCCCCCACUCUCAGCUGGAGCACUGCUCUGUUAUCUGUUGGGGCACCCUUGUCCCCCAAGUCUCCCGGCCCGUCACUUCCUCUAGCAUUCCCAUGAUGGCCCUGGGGCGGGGGAGCGCCAGCCGAGGCGACCCUCUGACCAUGCCUGUCCUUCCAAAGGUGGAGGCUGCGCAGCAGCUGGGGUGCCCCUCGGAGGCAGGGCAGUGCCGCUUCAGUCGGGAGGAGUUUGAGCAGAUCCUUCAGGAGCGGAAUGAACUCAAAGCCAAAGUGUUCCUGCUCAAGGAGGAGCUGGCCUACUUCCAGCGGGAGCUGCUCACAGACCACCGGGUCCCCGGCCUUCUGCUCGAGGCCAUGAAGGUGGCUGUCCGGAAGCAGCGGAAGAAGAUCAAGGCCAAGAUGUUAGGGACACCAGAGGAGGCAGAGAGCAGUGGCGAUGAGGAUGGCUCAUGGCUCCUGCUCUCCGAUGAUAAGGGAGACCAUCCCCCAACCCCGGAGUCCAAAAUACAGAGUUUCUUUGGCCUGUGGUAUCGGGGUAAAGCUGAAUCCUCUGAGGAUGAGACCAGCAGCCCUGCACCCAGCAAGCUAGGGGGAGAAGAGGCCCAACCACAGUCUCCAGCUCCUGAUCCGCCCUGUUCUGCCCUCCACGAACACCUUUUUCUGGGGGCCUCAGCCGCCCCAGAGGCCUGACUUAGGGGUCUGGCUGUGGAAGGAUGUGUGGCCUCAAAUGAGGACAGGGCUCCCGCCUUCACAGCCCACGCCAGGGGUCUGCCCUGCACCAGGGCAGGAUGGGGGCUCAGCCCGCCUCCCUCUCUACGUCUCUGUACCGAGCCUCUGGGGCCAGAUAUAAGAGUGCCUCUCUGAGUCUCAGUUUCCCCAUCCGUGAAAUGAGAGCUGACUGCCUAGCUCCCAGGGCUUUGUGCAGACA